UGCCCAGAAACUCCUAUCCCUACUUCCUCGUGGUACUGGCCGGGGUACGAUCAGGUAACUAACCCCGUUGGGUCGUAUGCUGACAGGGAAGG
This 92-nucleotide ribozyme is filed under the name Aedes aegypti (yellow fever mosquito). RNAcentral's name for it is "drz-agam-1 ribozyme". It matches the Rfam family "drz-agam-1 ribozyme". Lineage: Eukaryota; Metazoa; Arthropoda; Insecta; Diptera; Culicidae. The record is from Rfam by way of RNAcentral.